This 257-nucleotide long non-coding RNA is filed under the name Cyanistes caeruleus (blue tit). Its description in RNAcentral is "lncRNA (ENSCCEG00000014747.1)". Lineage: Eukaryota; Metazoa; Chordata; Aves; Passeriformes; Paridae. The record is from RNAcentral.
AUGUCUCGAGUGAUGGGGUCCUUCUACCUCCCUCACCAGCAGCAGAUCCUGUUAUUGGAGAGGUCUCCCAGAGCAGAGCUACUGUUCCCCCCACACCAUGAGUCAGACAGGUCUCAGCAGUAGGGACAGCAGUCUGUGUGUGGCUGAAGGACCUCGACUGGAGCCUGGGGACAGCAUGAUAGACAGGCUGCUGGAAUCAGAUAUAUAGUGAUGGAGGGAGGGAGGCAGGUCUGCCAUGAGCUCCAUCAUCACUGCUC